GACUGCAGAGCCGCAGAGCCGCAGUUUUACCCCAGCAGUUUUACCCCAGCAGUUUUACCCCGCGCAUGCGCAGUUUCACUAUAGCAGUUUUAUCCGCUCGUUUUGAAUAAGUUAUUAAAUUGUCUUUACUGCAGUCAGUUCAGCAGUACUGUUGGACAAAUCAUUCUUUUAUUUAACAUAUUAAUGUCGCAGGAAACUUUCAGCACCAGGCCGUUGGAUCAAAAAAACAACAAAAAAAAAACAAAGUAAGGGUAUUUUGUUGUCUUGUUUUCGGGACACUUUAACGUCCUGAUUGAUUUCUUUGUUUUUCGAAAUGCAAUUUGCCAUUUCAGCAUAUCUCCCAUCAACUCGAUAUGACAUCCUGUCGGGUCUUCAUGAUUAUGACAUGGAAGGUGGCUUGCACAUUGGGCUGAGGCGGUUGGAUUGCACAUGGCGGUUGGAUCUUGCCUCACUGACAGUGAAAUGAAUGGACCAGGAGAAAUUGAGUAUGGAGUAGGAGCGCUGGAGGGGGACACAACACCACACAAUCUUGAGAAUGCCAAUAUGAUGAGCAGCAUCAGGAAAGGUGUGGAAUGGUUGAAGGACAAUCACGCUGAU
Molecule: non-coding RNA, 597 nt
Organism: Pimephales promelas (fathead minnow)
Lineage: Eukaryota; Metazoa; Chordata; Actinopteri; Cypriniformes; Leuciscidae
Source: RefSeq, a predicted model, not a curated record